AGCAGACGUAGGCGGCCAAUGGCACCGCUCCUUCUUCUGAGUAUGGGUUCCCAGGAUUCUGAGCUUCACUUUCUAACCAAAUUCUGCCAGCAGCGGGUGAGACGAGUCCAGGAACAUCUCAAAGGGCCACACAUCAACAUCACAUCUCCAAGUGCAGGUUCCGACUCCAGGUCACCAGGGAGUGCAAAAACAGGGCGCGUGUCAUCACUCCAAGCUGUUACAGGGACGCUUACCUUCCCAGGUAGCUGCAAGUCUGCCCCACGUGCAGGACUCUUCCAGAAGCCCCAAGCUCCUCCUCGCUAACCACACAUGAGAAUGACCUGCUCGGGAAAGCGUCGGAAAAAUCUCACCAAUGCACGUGACAGUUCCCUUUCCUCUCCCUGUGCAGAUCUGCUUCCCAAACUUCACUUGAAACCCGUGCAUUUCAGAUAAAAUCCGCCAAGGAGCAUUGUGGUUUCCCACUUGCAUUUUGUCCGACACUGCCCAUGAUAACUUCUGUGAUAACCACGAAAGACGACCCCACACGGAGCCGUGGAGUUAGGUGAAAGCCUGUCUGGUGCAAUAAUGCUCAGGUCCCCAUAAAGGACAGACCUGCCUUGCUGUGCCAAACCUGUUCAGCUAAUAGAGACUUGGCGCUGGUAAAAGUUUCUCUCAUGAACUUCAAAGUUUUCCAACCCUUCUUGGACUUGAGGGCCCUCCGGUUUCAUUUAUCAGAAAGGGAGCCCCAUAAAAUCCCAUGCAAGGAUCAACAGCUUAGGACAAGGGGGAGAGGGUGUCGGUGCGGGAAAGGGCACCCGGAGGGCUGAUGGGAAGGGGUGGGGAGGGAAGCCGCCAAAGAAGCAGACUUUGGGACACAGGAGAGGAGAGCUACAGGUAGGAGGGGGAGGUCUCCUGCAACACAGAUGUGCUCCCAUCCCAUGGGGACUUGUGCAGCUGUUCAGCCUGAAUUAAGUCCUGCCAGGGGUGGAUCAGAUGUCUCAUCCUUCCAAAACUAAGAUCACAUUAAGGAGGUUUUCUAACAAAGGUUAAAAAUAAACACUGCAUACUGUGUCUUAUGGCUUGUACCCAGAUGCCCCCCCAAACCUCAAGCAGUAAUAGGUGGGGCUUUUCAGAGGUGGCUGGAUUUACUGUGUGAAUGUGGAUUAAGGGCGUGGAUGUUGGAAGCACCAUUGUAGGUGUGGGUGGCACGAUCACCAGGCUUGUCACCUGAAUGGAAUACAAAGGGACGGAGAGAAGGCAGGCUUGGUGGUGCUGCCGCUGCCGCCUCCCGCCUGCUUGCUAUGAGCUGUUUCUCCUCUGUGACGCCCCUCUGCCGUGCCUUCCUGCCUUAGAGGCAGUUGACUGUGG
This 1347-nucleotide long non-coding RNA is filed under the name Fukomys damarensis (Damara mole-rat). Its description in RNAcentral is "lncRNA (ENSFDAG00000030786.1)". Lineage: Eukaryota; Metazoa; Chordata; Mammalia; Rodentia; Bathyergidae. The record is from RNAcentral.